AGAGUUUGAUCCUGGCUCAGGAUGAACGCUGGCGGCGUGCUUAACACAUGCAAGUCGAACGGGAAUGCCACGCUGAUGCGAUUUCGGUCAAAUCAUGUGGCAUUCGAGUGGCGGACGGGUGAGUAACGCGUGGGUAACCUGCCUUACACAGGGGGAUAACACCUGGAAACAGGUGCUAAUACCGCAUAAGCGCACAGGGCCGCAUGGCCCGGUGUGAAAAACUCCGGUGGUGUAAGAUGGACCCGCGUCUGAUUAGCUUGUUGGCGGGGUAGGGGCCCACCAAGGCGACGAUCAGUAGCCGGCCUGAGAGGGUGGACGGCCACAUUGGGACUGAGACACGGCCCAAACUCCUACGGGAGGCAGCAGUGGGGGAUAUUGGACAAUGGGGGAAACCCUGAUCCAGCGACGCCGCGUGAGUGAAGAAGUAUUUCGGUAUGUAAAGCUCUGUCAGCAGGGAAGAAAGAAAUGACGGUACCUGACCAAGAAGCCCCGGCUAACUACGUGCCAGCAGCCGCGGU
Molecule: ribosomal RNA, 518 nt
Filed under: uncultured Gram-positive bacterium
Lineage: Bacteria
Also listed under: 1 other name
Description: bacterial SSU rRNA
Rfam family: Bacterial small subunit ribosomal RNA
Source: RNAcentral